AACGUCGAUAGAGCAACAGUGAAAAGUGAACGUGAAAGUAAAAAUGUGUGAAACUUCGGAUAAACCUGCUGAAGGAGUUUGAACUUGAAAAAGUGCACGACUAUCUAAUCGAUUGAAAUUGACUUUCAAAUGCUCUAUCCUGGCAAAGGUCAUUUGCUUUUGUCGAAGUGGGAAGAAUUCAAAGUCAAAAUUUUGACUCAUUACUCAACCCACCUUCGUAACGACUUUUGUAAACAACAACUGGCAGUAGCAAAGUCGUCUACAAAUAAAGAUCUCCAAGACUUCCUUGUAUCGAUAUUAUUAAAUGGCAUUUUGCCUUGUGGUUCGCGCUUUAAAAAUAGCGAAAACUGCAAAGCUACAAAAAAACUGACGAUUGCGGAUUCCCAGGAGUCUUUCGUACUUCAAAUAGAGACCCUGAACAAUAUACGCCCUAAGAUAGACGAACUAGUGAAUAAGUUCUAUUUAAAAAAAGAAUCCUUGCAGCCAUUUCUUACUAUAACUAAACUAA
Molecule: long non-coding RNA, 508 nt
Organism: Drosophila rhopaloa
Lineage: Eukaryota; Metazoa; Arthropoda; Insecta; Diptera; Drosophilidae
Exons: 3
Source: RefSeq, a predicted model, not a curated record